UGGGGAAUAUUGGACAAUGGGCGCAAGCCUGAUCCAGCAAUGCCGCGUGAGUGAAGAAGGUCUUCGGAUUGUAAAGCUCUUUCGACGGGGACGAUGAUGACGGUACCCGUAGAAGAAGCCCCGGCUAACUUCGUGCCAGCAGCCGCGGUAAUACGAAGGGGGCUAGCGUUGCUCGGAAUGACUGGGCGUAAAGGGCGCGUAGGCGGUUCGUACAGUCAGACGUGAAAUUCCCGGGCUCAACCUGGGGGCUGCGUUUGAUACGUGCGGGCUUGAGUUCGGAAGAGGGUCGUGGAAUUCCCAGUGUAGAGGUGAAAUUCGUAGAUAUUGGGAAGAACACCGGUGGCGAAGGCGGCGACCUGGUCCGAUACUGACGCUGAGGCGCGAAAGCGUGGGGAGCAAACAGGAUUAGAUACCCCCGUAGUCC
Molecule: ribosomal RNA, 424 nt
Filed under: uncultured bacterium
Lineage: Bacteria
Description: bacterial SSU rRNA
Rfam family: Bacterial small subunit ribosomal RNA
Source: RNAcentral